GCAACAGAAGAUAACUAAAAAUAAAAUACAGGGAGAAAAGAUGAGGCACAAAGGUAUGCUAGCCAAGAAUACAAAGGAGGAUAGU
Molecule: long non-coding RNA, 85 nt
Organism: Amblyraja radiata (thorny skate)
Lineage: Eukaryota; Metazoa; Chordata; Chondrichthyes; Rajiformes; Rajidae
Exons: 2
Source: RefSeq, a predicted model, not a curated record